Gadus morhua (Atlantic cod) is the source of this 503-nucleotide long non-coding RNA. The record is from Ensembl. Lineage: Eukaryota; Metazoa; Chordata; Actinopteri; Gadiformes; Gadidae.
UUUUUUAGGGGUCCAAGCCAACAGGUUGGAUCCCUAUUGUUUUUGUAAGGAUUUUUCCUAUUAUACUUACCUCCCUAAAAGUGGGACCACAGCCCAAACCGUAAAUGGUGCCGACACGCCAAUUGCAUGACUAGAUCCAGAUCUCUUCGGACUAUGCAGACGACAAAAUCCAGACCCGCCGGUCACUAGGUGGCGCUAUACCAAGGAAUACGCGUUUGGGGCUAUAACUCCCACACCGAACCUCCCACAUUCAAAACCUUGUACACACAGAUUCACUGGAGUCUGCUGCAUCUUUUGGCAUAGGCCACGCCCAUUUGCGUCUAGAAUUUUUUUUCGCAAAAUCGCGAAAACCGCAAAACUGUUUUUUCGCUACUCCUCCCACAUUUCUCGACCAAUCAACACCAAACUUUGCACUCCGCAUCUUCAGACGCACACCCAAAGAAACCCUCAGACAGUUUUUUGAUCCGACUUUCGACGACGAAACGGUAGCGUUUUGAAUAUUG